This 489-nucleotide ribosomal RNA is filed under the name uncultured bacterium. Its description in RNAcentral is "bacterial SSU rRNA". It matches the Rfam family "Bacterial small subunit ribosomal RNA", at positions 903 to 1397 of the family's 1533-position model. The record is from RNAcentral.
AAAUGAAUAGACGGGGACCCGCACAAGCGGUGGAGUAUGUGGUUUAAUUCGAAGCAACGCGAAGAACCUUACCAGGCCUUGACAUGGAGCUAAAGGCCCUAGAGAUAGGGAGAUAGUUAUAGCUCACACAGGUGGUGCAUGGUUGUCGUCAGCUCGUGUCGUGAGAUGUUGGGUUAAGUCCCGCAACGAGCGCAACCCUUGUCUUCUGUUACCAUCAUUCAGUUGGGGACUCAGGAGAGACUGCCGGUGACAAACCGGAGGAAGGUGGGGAUGACGUCAAAUCAUCAUGCCCCUUAUGGCCUGGGCUACACACGUACUACAAUGGCGGCUACAAAGAGGAGCGAACCUGCGAGGGGGAGCAAAUCUCAUAAAGGUCGUCUCAGUUCGGAUUGAAGUCUGCAACUCGACUUCAUGAAGUCGGAAUCGCUAGUAAUCGCAGAUCAGCAUGCUGCGGUGAAUACGUUCUCGGGUCUUGUACACACCGCCCGU